GAUUAGAUACCCCACUAUGCUUAGCCCUAAACCCAGAUAUUUAACACACAAAAAUAUCCGCCAGAGAACUACGAGCAUAACGCUUAAAACUCUAAGGACUUGGCGGUGCCUUAAACCCCCCUAGAGGAGCCUGUUCUAUAAUCGAUAAUCCACGAUCCACCUCACCAUCUCUUGCCAGUACCGCCUAUAUACCGCCGUCACUAGCCUACCCUAUGAAGGAUACAAAAGUAAGCAAAACAGCCAACAAUAGCUAAUAAGUCAGGUCAAGGUGUAGCUAACCGAGAUGGAAGAAAUGGGCUACAUUUUCUAAACUAGAAAUUAUCUCACGGAAAGAACCAUGAAACAAGUUCUACAAGCAGGAUUUAGCAGUAAACAAGGAUUAGAAUGCCCAAUUUAAGCCGGUCCUAAGGCACGCACACACCGCC
Molecule: ribosomal RNA, 425 nt
Filed under: Chelonoidis niger
Lineage: Eukaryota; Metazoa; Chordata; Testudines; Testudinidae
Description: partial 12S small subunit ribosomal RNA
Rfam family: Bacterial small subunit ribosomal RNA
Source: RNAcentral